RNAcentral lists this ribosomal RNA (492 nucleotides) under uncultured eukaryote. RNAcentral's name for it is "eukaryotic LSU rRNA". The stretch from base 129 to 492 matches the Rfam family "Eukaryotic large subunit ribosomal RNA", at positions 1 to 358 of the family's 3401-position model. The record is from RNAcentral.
GAAUUAUCUUAACUUUUUGUUGUUAUUUAAAUAAAGUUAUGUAUAAUUUUAUUUUCAACAUUGCUUGUAAUUUAUUCAUAGUUAAUGUUAAGUUUAUAAAUUAUCUUCAUUUUUAUAAUCAUCAAUCACGACCUCAUAUCAAGUGAGAUUACCCGCUGAAUUUAAGCAUAUUAAUAAGCGGAGGAAAAGAAACUAACAAUGAUUCCUUUAGUAACGGCGAGUGAAGAAGGAAUAGCUCAAAUUUAAAAUCAUGAAUCUUUGGUUUAUGAAUUGUAGUUUUAGAAGUUGGAUUCGUUUUUCAAUAAUAUACUUAAAUCCUUUGGAAAAAGGUAUCAUAGAAGGUGAAAAUCCUGUUUAUAGUAUAUUAAUUGAGGAACAUAUGUAUCUGAUUUCAAGAGUCGGGUUGUUUGGGAAUGCAACCUAAAAUGGGUGGUAAAUCUCAUCUAAAGCUAAAUAUUGAUAGGAGACCGAUAGCAAACAAGUACCGUGAGG